This 76-nucleotide transfer RNA is filed under the name Candidatus Saccharimonadota bacterium. RNAcentral's name for it is "tRNA-Ala". It matches the Rfam family "tRNA". From Rfam's summary of the family: Transfer RNA (tRNA) molecules are approximately 80 nucleotides in length. Their secondary structure includes four short double-helical elements and three loops (D, anti-codon, and T loops). Further hydrogen bonds mediate the characteristic L-shaped molecular structure. tRNAs have two regions of fundamental functional importance: the anti-codon, which is responsible for specific mRNA codon recognition, and the 3' end, to which the tRNAs corresponding amino acid is attached (by aminoacyl-tRNA synthetases). tRNAs cope with the degeneracy of the genetic code in two manners: having more than one tRNA (with a specific anti-codon) for a particular amino acid; and 'wobble' base-pairing, i.e. permitting non-standard base-pairing at the 3rd anti-codon position. Lineage: Bacteria; Candidatus Saccharimonadota. The record is from RNAcentral.
GGGCCUGUAGCUCAGUUGAUAGAGCAUCGCAUUCGCAUUGCGGGGGUCGUGGGUUUAAGUCCCAUCAGGUCCACCA